CCUACGGGUGACAGCAGUGAGGAAUAUUGGUCAAUGGGCGCGAGCCUGAACCAGCCAAGUAGCGUGAAGGAUGACUGCCCUACGGGUUGUAAACUUCUUUUAUAAGGGAAUAAAGUGAGGCACGUGUGCCUUUUUGUAUGUACUUUAUGAAUAAGGAUCGGCUAACUCCGUGCCAGCAGCCGCGGUAAUACGGAGGAUCCAAGCGUUAUCCGGAUUUAUUGGGUUUAAAGGGUGCGUAGGCGGAUUGUUAAGUCAGAGGUGAAAGGUCGGGGCUUAACCCGGGAACUGCCUUUAAAACUGGCGGUCUAGAGAGUAGAUGCGGUAGGCGGAAUGUGUGGUGUAGCGGUGAAAUGCUUAGAGAUCAUACAGAACACCGAUUGCGAAGGCAGCUUACUAAACUGUAACUGACACUGAUGCUCGAAAGUGUGGGUAUCAAACAGGAUUAGAUACCCCAGUAGUC
RNAcentral lists this ribosomal RNA (460 nucleotides) under uncultured bacterium. Its description in RNAcentral is "partial 16S ribosomal RNA". It matches the Rfam family "Bacterial small subunit ribosomal RNA", at positions 338 to 795 of the family's 1533-position model. The record is from RNAcentral.